AGACGGAGGGCGCAAGCGUUGUUCGGAAUUACUGGGCGUAAAGGGCAGGUAGGUGGUCUGUUAAGUCUUCUGUGAAAACCCGGGGCUCAACCCCGUGGAAUGCAGGUGAAACUGGCAGACUUGAGACCGGUAGAGGCUAGCGGAAUUCCUGGUGUAGCGGUGGAAUGCGUAGAUAUCAGGAAGAACACCUGUGGCGAAGGCGGCUAGCUGGGCCGGUUCUGACACUAAACUGCGAAAGCGUGGGGAGCAAACAGGAUUAGAAACCCCGGUAGUCC
RNAcentral lists this ribosomal RNA (275 nucleotides) under uncultured bacterium. RNAcentral's name for it is "partial 16S ribosomal RNA". It matches the Rfam family "Bacterial small subunit ribosomal RNA", at positions 523 to 796 of the family's 1533-position model. The record is from RNAcentral.